Lepisosteus oculatus (spotted gar) is the source of this 575-nucleotide long non-coding RNA. RefSeq lists it as uncharacterized. The record is from RefSeq and is a predicted model, not a curated record. NCBI's taxonomy places the organism in Eukaryota, Metazoa, Chordata, Actinopteri, Semionotiformes, Lepisosteidae.
GCAAUACAGCCUCCCGCUAUAAAACACGGAAGUUUCACUUAUUCCCUUGCUUACAGUUAUCUCUACACCAGACAGCUCCUAAGUCUAAAGAAAACAGAGUAAAAUGGGCGGUACUCAAGUGAAAAUAAUGAAAUACCAACCUCAAAAUGGAGUGUGGAAAGAAUAUGAAAAAAUACUUGAUAAUUUUAAAGAUCAUGGAAACACUUUCAAUGCAGCUGUAGAUGGAAGUAAUCGUGGAGGUCAUUUUCACAGCACACUGGACGAAGCAAAGAGAUGUGCAAGAUCCAGAUCAGGAGCUUUUGCAAUCCGAUUCUUAGAAGGAAAUUGGAAAGAUGAAUAUGGUUGUUGUUAUUAGAUUAGAUGAUGAAGGGAGAAAAUAUGCUUGAUGUCAACAGAACCUUUACCACGACUUUGGACCACUCUGUGUGCUUUUUUAAUAGACAAAACAAGACAAUCAAAAAUGAUUUAAUUUUAUGAGGGGUCCUACAAUUCAGCUUUGAUGCAAUUGUACAAAUGUUAAAUACAAAACUUUAACAUUUAUGUAACAAUAAUUUCAUUAAAAGACCAUGCCAGCA